This 253-nucleotide ribosomal RNA is filed under the name uncultured bacterium. Its description in RNAcentral is "partial 16S ribosomal RNA". It matches the Rfam family "Bacterial small subunit ribosomal RNA", at positions 524 to 776 of the family's 1533-position model. The record is from RNAcentral.
UACAGAGGUCUCAAGCGUUGUUCGGAUUCAUUGGGCGUAAAGGGUGCGUAGGUGGCGCCGUAAGUCGGGUGUGAAAUCCUGAGGCUUAACCUCGGAACUGCAUUCGAUACUGCGGCGCUUGAGGACUGGAGAGGAGACUGGAAUUCAUGGUGUAGCAGUGAAAUGCGUAGAGAUCAUGAGGAAGACCAGUGGCGAAGGCGGGUCUCUGGGCCGAUACUGACGCUGAGGAGCGAAAGCGUGGGGAGCGAACAGG